ACGCCGUUCGUCUAAUGGCAGGGCCUCGGCCUCCAAAACCGAAGACGUGGGUUCGAUUCCUACACGGCGUG
RNAcentral lists this transfer RNA (71 nucleotides) under Spirochaetota bacterium. Its description in RNAcentral is "Spirochaetes bacterium tRNA-Trp". It matches the Rfam family "tRNA". From Rfam's summary of the family: Transfer RNA (tRNA) molecules are approximately 80 nucleotides in length. Their secondary structure includes four short double-helical elements and three loops (D, anti-codon, and T loops). The record is from RNAcentral. Lineage: Bacteria; Pseudomonadati; Spirochaetota.